Molecule: ribosomal RNA, 516 nt
Filed under: uncultured bacterium
Lineage: Bacteria
Description: bacterial SSU rRNA
Rfam family: Bacterial small subunit ribosomal RNA
Source: RNAcentral
AGAGUUUGAUCCUGGCUCAGAUUGAACGCUGGCGGCAUGCUUUACACAUGCAAGUCGAACGGUAACAGGCCGCAAGGUGCUGACGAGUGGCGAACGGGUGAGUAAUGCAUCGGAACGUGCCCAGUCGUGGGGGAUAACGCAGCGAAAGCUGUGCUAAUACCGCAUACGAUCUAUGGAUGAAAGCGGGGGACCGUAAGGCCUCGCGCGAUUGGAGCGGCCGAUGUCAGAUUAGGUAGUUGGUGGGGUAAAGGCCUACCAAGCCGACGAUCUGUAGCUGGUCUGAGAGGACGACCAGCCACACUGGGACUGAGACACGGCCCAGACUCCUACGGGAGGCAGCAGUGGGGAAUUUUGGACAAUGGGCGCAAGCCUGAUCCAGCAAUGCCGCGUGCAGGAAGAAGGCCUUCGGGUUGUAAACUGCUUUUGUACGGAACGAAACGGCUCUGGUUAAUACCCGGAGCUAAUGACGGUACCGUAAGAAUAAGCACCGGCUAACUACGUGCCAGCCGCCGCGGU